GAUGAACGGCUGGCGGCGCGCCUAACACAUGCAAGUCGAACGGGAACACCCGUAGCAAUAUGGGUGUUUUAGUGGCGACGGGUGAGUAACGCGUGAGGAACCUGCCUUUCGGAGGGGAAUAACACAUCGAAAGAUGUGCUAAUACCGCAUAAUGUCAUCGGGCGGCAUCGCCUGAUGACCAAAAGAGCAAUCUGCCGAAAGAUGGCCUCGCGUCCGAUUAGAUAGUUGGUGAGGUAACGGCCCACCAAGUCUGCGAUCGGUAGCCGGACUGAGAGGUUGAACGGCCACAUUGGGACUGAGACACGGCCCAGACUCCUACGGGAGGCAGCAGUGGGGGAUAUUAGUCAAUGGAGGAAACUCUGAACUAGCGACGCCGCGUGAGGGAAGAAGGUCUUCGGAUUGUAAACCUCUGUCUUCGGGGACGAUAAUGACGGUACCCGAGGAGGAAGCUCCGGCUAACUACGUG
Molecule: ribosomal RNA, 466 nt
Filed under: uncultured bacterium
Lineage: Bacteria
Description: bacterial SSU rRNA
Rfam family: Bacterial small subunit ribosomal RNA
Source: RNAcentral